RNAcentral lists this small nucleolar RNA (207 nucleotides) under Sphenodon punctatus (tuatara). RNAcentral's name for it is "Small nucleolar RNA SNORA73 family (ENSSPUG00000009513.1)". It matches the Rfam family "Small nucleolar RNA SNORA73 family". Rfam says of the family: U17 (SNORA73A and SNORA73B) also known as E1 belongs to the H/ACA class of small nucleolar RNAs (snoRNAs). Vertebrate U17 is intron-encoded and ranges in length from 200-230 nucleotides, longer than most snoRNAs. It is one of the most abundant snoRNAs in human cells and is essential for the cleavage of pre-rRNA within the 5' external transcribed spacer (ETS). The record is from Rfam by way of RNAcentral. Lineage: Eukaryota; Metazoa; Chordata; Lepidosauria; Sphenodontia; Sphenodontidae.
CCAAUGUGGAUAUCCAGGGAGGUUGCUCUCCCGUGGCUCUGUCCAUGUGGCGUAUGGGAGCGUAGGCCUUCGGGCUCUGUGACGUAUAGUCCCAUUCCACGCCAUUGGAGAGCAAGCCAGGCCUUCAGGUCUGCAACCUGCAUAUUCCUACAGCUUCUCUGAGUCUUCGGACAGUGACUGAGAAGAUAAACCAUGCAGGACACAAUG